GCUUAACACAUGCAAGUCGAGGGGUAACAUAGGAGUGCUUGCACUCUUGAUGACGACCGGCGGACGGGUGAGUNACGCGUAUAUAACCUACCUUUUAGCGGGGGAUAGCCCAGGGAAACUUGGAUUAAUAUCCCAUGGUAUGUAAGGUCCACCUGGAUUUUACAUUAAACAUUUAUGGCUAUUAGAUGGGUAUGCGUCCUAUUAGUUAGAUGGUAAGGUAACGGCUUACCAUGGCAGCGAUAGGUAGGGGUCCUGAGAGGGAGAUCCCCCACACUGGUACUGAGACACGGACCAGACUCCUACGGGAGGCAGCAGUGAGGAAUAUUGGACAAUGGAGGCAACUCUGAUCCAGCCAUGCCGCGUGCAGGAAGACUGCCCUAUGGGUUGUAAACUGCUUUUACAGAGGAAGAACCACUCCCACGUGUGGGGGUUUGACGGUACUCUGCGAAUAAGGAUCGGCUAACUCCGUGCCAGCAGCCGCGGUAAUACGGAGGAUCCAAGCGUUAUCCGGAAUCAUUGGGUUUAAAGGGUCCGUAGGCGGGAUAAUAAGUCAGUGGUGAAAGUCUGCAGCUUAACUGUAGAAUUGCCAUUGAAACUGUUGUUCUUGAGUUAUUAUGAAGUGGUUAGAAUGAGUAGUGUACGGUGAAAUGCAUAGAUAUUACUCAGAAUACCGAUUGCGAAGGCAGAUCACUAAUAAUACACUGACGCUGAUGGACNAAAGCGUAGGUAGCGAACAGGAUUAGAUCCCUGGAGUCUACCCGUAAACGAUGGUACUACUGC
RNAcentral lists this ribosomal RNA (780 nucleotides) under Cytophaga sp. B12. Its description in RNAcentral is "bacterial SSU rRNA". It matches the Rfam family "Bacterial small subunit ribosomal RNA", at positions 46 to 821 of the family's 1533-position model. The record is from RNAcentral. Lineage: Bacteria; Pseudomonadati; Bacteroidota; Cytophagia; Cytophagales; Cytophagaceae.